RNAcentral lists this ribosomal RNA (510 nucleotides) under Glomus hyderabadensis. RNAcentral's name for it is "eukaryotic LSU rRNA". It matches the Rfam family "Eukaryotic large subunit ribosomal RNA", at positions 37 to 659 of the family's 3401-position model. Lineage: Eukaryota; Fungi; Glomeromycota; Glomeromycetes; Glomerales; Glomeraceae. The record is from RNAcentral.
UGCAUAUCCCAUAAGCGGAGGAAAAGAAACUAACCAGGAUUCCCUCAGUAACGGCGAGUGAAGCGGGAAAAGCUCAGACUGAAAAUCUUCGGAGUUGUGGUCUGGAGAAGAAGUGGUAAUCGUGAAAGCUUUCGUAAAGUCGCAUGGAAAGGCGCGCCACGGAGGGUGAGAGCCCCGUUCGUACGAAAGUGGAAGCAGUACUACUCUUCCAUGAGUCGAGUUGUUUGGGAUUGCAGCUCUAAUUGGGUGGUAAAUUCCAUCUAAAGCUAAAUAUGGGUAGGAGACCGAUAGCAAACAAGUACCGUGAGGGAAAGAUGAAAAGAACUUUGAAAAGAGAGUGAAAAAGUACCUGCAAUUGCUGAAAAGGAACCGAUGGGAAGCAGUGUUUGGUCAUGCUUGGUUCCAAGUAUGACUGGUCUCGCUUCCUUGGCUUGUCGUGGGAGAAGGCUAAACCCCUGUCAUGACGCCGAGGGACUGAGACAAAAUGCUUCUCAUCAACCCGUCUUGAAC